This 490-nucleotide ribosomal RNA is filed under the name uncultured bacterium. RNAcentral's name for it is "partial 16S ribosomal RNA". It matches the Rfam family "Bacterial small subunit ribosomal RNA", at positions 30 to 507 of the family's 1533-position model. The record is from RNAcentral.
AUUGAACGCUGGCGGCAGGCCUAACACAUGCAAGUCGAACGGUAACAGGAAGAAGCUUGCUUCUUUGCUGACGAGUGGCGGACGGGUGAGUAAUGUCUGGGAAACUGCCUGAUGGAGGGGGAUAACUACUGGAAACGGUAGCUAAUACCGCAUAACGUCGCAAGACCAAAGAGGGGGACCUUCGGGCCUCUUGCCAUCGGAUGUGCCCAGAUGGGAUUAGCUAGUAGGUGGGGUAACGGCUCACCUAGGCCACGAUCCCUAGCUGGUCUGAGAGGAUGACCAGCCACACUGGAACUGAGACACGGUCCAGACUCCUACGGGAGGCAGCAGUGGGGAAUAUUGCACAAUGGGCGCAAGCCUGAUGCAGCCAUGCCGCGUGUAUGAAGAAGGCCUUCGGGUUGUAAAGUACUUUCAGCGGGGAGGAAGGGAGUAAAGUUAAUACCUUUGCUCAUUGACGUUACCCGCAGAAGAAGCACCGGCUAACUCCGUG